This 1337-nucleotide ribosomal RNA is filed under the name uncultured bacterium. RNAcentral's name for it is "bacterial SSU rRNA". It matches the Rfam family "Bacterial small subunit ribosomal RNA", at positions 28 to 1382 of the family's 1533-position model. The record is from RNAcentral.
GACGAAACGCUGGCGGCGCGCCUAACACAUGCAAGUUCGAACGAGCGAGAGAGAGCUUCGCUUUUCUCAAGCGAGCGGCGAACGGGCGAGUAACGCGCGAGGAACCUGCCUCAAAGAGGGGGACAACAGUCGGAAACGACUGCUAAUACCGCAUAAGCCCACGGGUCGGCAUCGACCAGAGGGAAAAGGAGCAAUCCGCUUUGAGAUGGCCUCGCGUCCGAUUAGCUAGUUGGUGAGGUAAUGGCCCACCAAGGCAACGAUCGGUAGCCGGACUGAGAGGUUGAACGGCCACAUUGGGACUGAGACACGGCCCAGACUCCUACGGGAGGCAGCAGUGGGGAAUAUUGCACAAUGGGGGAAACCCUGAUGCAGCGACGCCGCGUGGAGGAAGAAGGUCUUCGGAUUGUAAACUCCUGUUGUUGAGGAAGAUAAUGACGGUACUCAACAAGGAAGUGACGGCUAACUACGUGCCAGCAGCCGCGGUAAAACGUAGGUCACAAGCGUUGUCCGGAAUUACUGGGUGUAAAGGGAGCGCAGGCGGGAAGACAAGUUGGAAGUGAAAUCUAUGGGCUCAACCCAUAAACUGCUUUCAAAACUGUUUUUCUUGAGUAGUGCAGAGGUAGGCGGAAUUCCCGGUGUAGCGGUGGAAUGCGUAGAUAUCGGGAGGAACACCAGUGGCGAAGGCGGCCUACUGGGCACCAACUGACGCUGAGGCUCGAAAGUGUGGGUAGCAAACAGGAUUAGAUACCCUGGUAGUCCACACCGUAAACGAUGAUUACUAGGUGUUGGAGGAUUGACCCCUUCAGUGCCGCAGUUAACACAAUAAGUAAUCCACCUGGGGAGUACGACCGCAAGGUUGAAACUCAAAGGAAUUGACGGGGGCCCGCACAAGCAGUGGAGUAUGUGGUUUAAUUCGACGCAACGCGAAGAACCUUACCAAGUCUUGACAUCCCUUGACGAACAUAGAAAUAUGUUUUCUCUUCGGAGCAAGGAGACAGGUGGUGCAUGGUUGUCGUCAGCUCGUGUCGUGAGAUGUUGGGUUAAGUCCCGCAACGAGCGCAACCCUUACUGUCAGUUACUACGCAAGAGGACUCUGGCAGGACUGCCGUUGACAAAACGGAGGAAGGUGGGGAUGACGUCAAAUCAUCAUGCCCUUUAUGACUUGGGCUACACACGUACUACAAUGGCGUUAAACAAAGAGAAGCAAGACCGCGAGGUGGAGCAAAACUCAGAAACAGCGUCCCAGUUCGGACUGCAGGCUGCAACUCGCCUGCACGAAGUCGGAAUUGCUAGUAAUCGUGGAUCAGCAUGCCACGGUGAAUACGUUCCCGGGCCUU